RNAcentral lists this ribosomal RNA (696 nucleotides) under Streptomyces caniferus. RNAcentral describes it as "bacterial SSU rRNA". It matches the Rfam family "Bacterial small subunit ribosomal RNA", at positions 71 to 781 of the family's 1533-position model. The record is from RNAcentral. Lineage: Bacteria; Bacillati; Actinomycetota; Actinomycetes; Kitasatosporales; Streptomycetaceae.
GAGCCUCCUUCGGGAGGAGAUUAGAGGCGAACGGGUGACUAACACGUGGGCAAUCUGCCCUUCACUCUGGGACAAGCCCUGGAAACGGGGUCUAAUACCGGAUACGACCACCGACCGCAUGGUCUGGUGGUGGAAAGCUCCGGCGGUGAAGGAUGAGCCCGCGGCCUAUCAGCUUGUUGGUGGGGUGAUGGCCUACCAAGGCGACGACGGGUAGCCGGCCUGAGAGGGCGACCGGCCACACUGGGACUGAGACACGGCCCAGACUCCUACGGGAGGCAGCAGUGGGGAAUAUUGCACAAUGGGCGAAAGCCUGAUGCAGCGACGCCGCGUGAGGGAUGACGGCCUUCGGGUUGUAAACCUCUUUCAGCAGGGAAGAAGCGAAAGUGACGGUACCUGCAGAAGAAGCGCCGGCUAACUACGUGCCAGCAGCCGCGGUAAUACGUAGGGCGCAAGCGUUGUCCGGAAUUAUUGGGCGUAAAGAGCUCGUAGGCGGCUUGUCACGUCGGAUGUGAAAGCCCGGGGCUUAACCCCGGGUCUGCAUUCGAUACGGGCAGGCUAGAGUUCGGUAGGGGAGAUCGGAAUUCCUGGUGUAGCGGUGAAAUGCGCAGAUAUCAGGAGGAACACCGGUGGCGAAGGCGGAUCUCUGGGCCGAUACUGACGCUGAGGAGCGAAAGCGUGGGGAGCGAACAGGAUUAG